CCGCGUGCUGCCUACCCUACGCGCCCAGCGGCGCCUUCUCGCCAGCGCCAUGCCGGGCCGGAACCCAGUGGGCCUCCACAUCCCGGCGGGCCGCCAGCUGGGAGCUGUUUAUUUAUGGCUGCAAAUGUGUGUGUUCAAGAGAGAGAGGGAAUUGAUCUUUGCCUGGACUUAAAGAUGGAGCCGAAGAAGCUGGAGGGAAUUUGGGCUUGUGCGUCUGGCCCAGACCCUGUGCGCCGAGCCCGAGGUCUAUCCUCCCCGCACCUCUCACCUCGCGACCUUGCAGGAAUCCGCGGGCCCGGAUGCUGCCCAGCUGACCCUCCUGCCCCGGGCCUGGCUGCAGAGAAAGUCUUCGGGCAGGAGGCCAUCCUGUUCCUGUCUUUAAAAUGAGCACAAUAAAAGGGGGCAAAUCCUCGAACGCGAACCUGAUCUCAUGUCACAGAAGCAACUUGCCAUGAAAUCCGCUAAUGCGCUGCGACUCGCCCACCAGGGCAGCGUGCGGCGGCCGAACUGCACCUGCGUUUGUGAGCCUUGUAGAAAUGGAGCCCACCGGAUUCCCUCACCCGGAGAAAUGCCCAAACUGAAACUUGACUACACUUCCCUGGGCUGGUUCACGGUUUCAUAAUCUCCCAGGUUUGCUGGCUGUGUCACCAAAUCCAAGCCAAACCUGCUAUAAACAUGAUCACAGGCCACUGACCUCGCAGCACUGACCGAUAACUCGGUGGCAAAAUCAGCUCCUCUGGUCAGAGGUUAUUAAAGCAGCGGCUGAAUUCGUGUUUGUUUUUUUGAAGUGGUCAGAAAAACGUAGUCUUCUUAAACCUACAAAAACAGUCAAACACAUUUGCAAAUGUGCUUUACUUGUAUUGGUUCGAGUGCUGGAAGCUGUCUGGCGGUGAGCUUUUUCGUUGCGUGUGGUUUAUGCAGAGCACCCGGGAUGUUUUUC
RNAcentral lists this long non-coding RNA (940 nucleotides) under Homo sapiens (human). Its description in RNAcentral is "non-protein coding lnc-ONECUT1-1:3". Lineage: Eukaryota; Metazoa; Chordata; Mammalia; Primates; Hominidae. The record is from RNAcentral.